Long non-coding RNA from Oreochromis niloticus (Nile tilapia), 263 nucleotides. RefSeq lists it as uncharacterized. The transcript is spliced from 3 exons. NCBI's taxonomy places the organism in Eukaryota, Metazoa, Chordata, Actinopteri, Cichliformes, Cichlidae. The record is from RefSeq and is a predicted model, not a curated record.
GUGGCCUGCUGAAACUGUACUGGUCUAAGAAGGGAGCUCUUGGUGAGGAGAUGGAAGACCUCCUGGAUAAACUUGAUGAACAGACAUCCAACACUGUGUCCAACGGGCACUGAGAGGCCUGCCCAUUUUCCUCAAGAGAAGAUGCAACAGAGGUUUUCCUGAAGUGCUUAGACACUGACAUUUUGGAACCAGUGUUGAACGGUGCAUCAGUUGCCAUCCUCACCAUCCUACAAGAUGACGAUGCUGAUACGUCUGUGCGAGAA